UGGGAACGUACCCUUCGGUUCGGAACAACCCAGGGAAACUUGGGCUAAUACCGAAUACGUCCGUAAGGGGGAAAGAUUUAUCGCCGAAGGAUCGGCCCGCGUCUGAUUAGCUAGUUGGUGGGGUAAUGGCCCACCAAGGCGACGAUCAGUAGCUGGUCUGAGAGGAUGAUCAGCCACACUGGGACUGAGACACGGCCCAGACUCCUACGGGAGGCAG
Molecule: ribosomal RNA, 217 nt
Filed under: uncultured bacterium
Lineage: Bacteria
Description: partial 16S ribosomal RNA
Rfam family: Bacterial small subunit ribosomal RNA
Source: RNAcentral